Molecule: non-coding RNA, 138 nt
Organism: Ornithorhynchus anatinus (platypus)
Lineage: Eukaryota; Metazoa; Chordata; Mammalia; Monotremata; Ornithorhynchidae
Source: Rfam
CCCCUCUUAGGGUCACACCUGGAGAGUUUCCAGUACUCCACCAGUCCCGACUAUGGGAGGGAGAGUCAAGCAGAGGCAUACCUAUUCCAUUCCUAGCUUGGGCAGUGGUUAGCAAAUGGAAGGCAAUCUGCUACAAGU